This 77-nucleotide transfer RNA is filed under the name Sphingomonadales bacterium. RNAcentral describes it as "tRNA-Leu". It matches the Rfam family "tRNA". From Rfam's summary of the family: Transfer RNA (tRNA) molecules are approximately 80 nucleotides in length. Lineage: Bacteria; Pseudomonadati; Pseudomonadota; Alphaproteobacteria; Sphingomonadales. The record is from RNAcentral.
GCGCACGUAGCCCAAUCGGCAGAGGCGUCGGGCCGAGAUCCUGAACAGUGCUGGUUCGAAUCCAGCCGUGCAUACCA